GACGAACGCUGGCGGCGUGCUUAACACAUGCAAGUCGAACGGAAAGGCCCUGCUUUUGUGGGGUGCUCGAGUGGCGAACGGGUGAGUAACACGUGAGUAACCUGCCCUUGACUUUGGGAUAACUUCAGGAAACUGGGGCUAAUACCGGAUAGGAGCUCCUGCUGCAUGGUGGGGGUUGGAAAGUUUCGGCGGUUGGGGAUGGACUCGCGGCUUAUCAGCUUGUUGGUGGGGUAGUGGCUUACCAAGGCUUUGACGGGUAGCCGGCCUGAGAGGGUGACCGGCCACAUUGGGACUGAGAUACGGCCCAGACUCGUACGGGAGGCAGCAGUGGGGAAUAUUGCACAAUGGGCGGAAGCCUGAUGCAGCAACGCUGCGUGCGGGAUGACGGCCUUCGGGUUGUAAACCGCUUUCGCCUGUGACGAAGCGUGAGUGACGGUAAUGGGUAAAGAAGCACCGGCUAACUACGUG
Molecule: ribosomal RNA, 468 nt
Filed under: uncultured bacterium
Lineage: Bacteria
Description: partial 16S ribosomal RNA
Rfam family: Bacterial small subunit ribosomal RNA
Source: RNAcentral